This 467-nucleotide ribosomal RNA is filed under the name uncultured bacterium. RNAcentral's name for it is "partial 16S ribosomal RNA". It matches the Rfam family "Bacterial small subunit ribosomal RNA", at positions 28 to 507 of the family's 1533-position model. The record is from RNAcentral.
GACGAACGCUGGCGGCGUGCUUAACACAUGCAAGUCGAACGGAAAGGCCUCUUUCGGGGGGUACUCGCGUGGGGAAAGGGUGAGUAAAACGUGAGUAAACUCCCCUUUACUCUGGGAUAAAUUCUGGAAACACGGGCGAAUACAGGAUAGGAGCUCCUCUUCUACGGUGGGGGUUGGAGAGUUUUGGGGCUUGGGGGUGGGCUCGCGGCGUUUAUGCGUGUUGGUGUGGUAUUGGCUCACCAAGGCUUUGACGGGGUGCCGGGCUGGGAGGGGGAACGGCCCAAUUGGGACUGAGAUACGGCCCAGACUCCUACGGGAGGGAAGAGUGGGGAAUAUUUCACAAUGGGGCGGAGCCUGGUUCAGGAACGCCGUGUGCGGGAUGACCGGCUUCGGGUUGGAAACCGGUUUCGCCCUUUACGAAGCUUUGUGUGACGGUAGUGGGUAAAGAAGCACCGGCUAACUACGUG